RNAcentral lists this ribosomal RNA (557 nucleotides) under Colletotrichum johnstonii. Its description in RNAcentral is "partial 28S ribosomal RNA". It matches the Rfam family "Eukaryotic large subunit ribosomal RNA", at positions 54 to 635 of the family's 3401-position model. The record is from RNAcentral. Lineage: Eukaryota; Fungi; Ascomycota; Sordariomycetes; Glomerellales; Glomerellaceae.
AGGAAAUGAAACCAACAGGGAUUGCCCCAGUAACGGCGAGUGAAGCGGCAACAGCUCAAAUUUGAAAUCUGGCCCCAGGCCCGAGUUGUAAUUUGCAGAGGAUGCUUUUGGCGCGGUGCCUUCCGAGUUCCCUGGAACGGGACGCCAUAGAGGGUGAGAGCCCCGUACGGUUGGACACCAAGCCUUUGUAAAGCUCCUUCGACGAGUCGAGUAGUUUGGGAAUGCUGCUCUAAAUGGGAGGUACAUUUCUUCUAAAGCUAAAUAUUGGCCAGAGACCGAUAGCGCACAAGUAGAGUGAUCGAAAGAUGAAAAGCACUUUGAAAAGAGGGUUAAACAGCACGUGAAAUUGUUAAAAGGGAAGCGCUUGUGACCAGACUUGCGUCCGGUGAAUCACCCAGCUCUCGCGGCUGGGGCACUUCGCCGGCACAGGCCAGCAUCAGCUUGCCGUCGGGGACAAAAGCUUCAGGAACGUGGCUCCUCUCGGGGAGUGUUAUAGCCUGUUGCAUAAUACCCUUCGGCGGGCUGAGGUACGCGCUCCGCAAGGAUGCUGGCGUAAU